This 490-nucleotide ribosomal RNA is filed under the name uncultured bacterium. Its description in RNAcentral is "partial 16S ribosomal RNA". It matches the Rfam family "Bacterial small subunit ribosomal RNA", at positions 30 to 507 of the family's 1533-position model. The record is from RNAcentral.
AUUGAACGCUGGCGGCAGGCCUAACACAUGCAAGUCGAACGGUAACAGGAAACAGCUUGCUGUUUCGCUGACGAGUGGCGGACGGGUGAGUAAUGUCUGGGAAACUGCCUGAUGGAGGGGGAUAACUACUGGAAACGGUAGCUAAUACCGCAUAACGUCGCAAGACCAAAGAGGGGGAGCUUCGGGCCUCUUGCCAUCGGAUGUGCCCAGAUGGGAUUAGCUAGUAGGUGGGGUAACGGUUCACCUAGGCGACGAUCCCUAGCUGGUCUGAGAGGAUGAGGGGCCACACUGGAAGUGAGACACGGUCCAGACUCCUACGAGAGGCAGCAGUGGGGAAUAUUGCACAAUGGGCGCAAGCCUGAUGCAGCCAUGCCGCGUGUAUGAAGAAGGCCUUCGGGUUGUAAAGUACUUUCAGCGGGGAGGAAGGGAGUAAGGUUAAUACCUUUACUCAUUGACGUUACCCGCUGAAGAAGCACCGGCUAACUCCGUG